This 433-nucleotide ribosomal RNA is filed under the name uncultured bacterium. Its description in RNAcentral is "bacterial SSU rRNA". It matches the Rfam family "Bacterial small subunit ribosomal RNA", at positions 29 to 507 of the family's 1533-position model. The record is from RNAcentral.
AACGAACGCUGGCGGCAUGCCUAACACAUGCAAGUCGAACGAGACCUUCGGGUCUAGUGGCGCACGGGUGCGUAACGCGUGGGAACCUGCCUUUAGGUUCGGAAUAACAGUGAGAAAUUACUGCUAAUACCGGAUGAUGUCUUCGGACCAAAGAUUUAUCGCCUUUAGAUGGGCCCGCGUUGGAUUAGCUAGUUGGUGGGGUAAAGGCCUACCAAGGCGACGAUCCAUAGCUGGUCUGAGAGGAUGAUCAGCCACACUGGGACUGAGACACGGCCCAGACUCCUACGGGAGGCAGCAGUGGGGAAUAUUGGACAAUGGGCGAAAGCCUGAUCCAGCAAUGCCGCGUGAGUGAUGAAGGUCUUAGGGUUGUAAAGCUCUUUUACCCGAGAUGAUAAUGACAGUAUCGGGAGAAUAAGCUCCGGCUAACUCCGUG